Mytilus californianus (California mussel) is the source of this 852-nucleotide long non-coding RNA. RefSeq lists it as uncharacterized. The transcript is spliced from 2 exons. NCBI's taxonomy places the organism in Eukaryota, Metazoa, Mollusca, Bivalvia, Mytilida, Mytilidae. The record is from RefSeq and is a predicted model, not a curated record.
UUAGACAUGCAACUUCAGAUCAAUACUCAUUAACCAUUGAAUUACACACGCCUAGGACUUGGGAGCAUUGUGUUACGUAAACAUUGUGUUUAACUUUGUUUUCUUACUAUGAAAGAGUGUUUAUAACAAAGUAGAUCCACGAUAGUAACUCAAAGUGAGAUCAAACUAGGCAUAUCCGUAUCAAGAAUACCUCAUUUGGAAAUUACAAACAAGUGGACAGAUCUUAUUUCAAAAUAUAGCUUGGAGAGUGGUAUUGUGUGAAGAUUGAUUCCCAGGUCUUGAAACGAAUAAGGUUUUUCAAAGAAUCAUCAUGUUGCCAAAAGAUGGUAGCACUAAAAAGAUAGUAAGUAAGCUGUCGGCUCAUAUUCCUGCCUUCACAGACAUAUUCGAUGAAGAAACAUUCUACAUAUUCUUCAUCUGUCUGACAGUAUGCACAGUAACACUAGCAAUAUAUUGUUCAAGACGGCUGACCAUAAAGGAUGCAGGACAUGUGGAUUAGAAAUGACCUGCAACUGUGAAUUAUAUAGUGGUCAGAAGUUCCUUGAUGGUUCAGACACUUCACAUCACCAGACAUUAUAGACCAACAUGAUGAAUUUUCACAGAGUAAUGAGAAAGACAUGCGAACUAUAUGGUGAAUCUCGCUAACUUGGGUAACUUGUUAUGUUACCAUAAACUUUUCAGUUUGGCUGUAUAGUUAUAUUAGAAAAUAUUGAUUGUGUUAUUUUCCCUUGUCUUAUUCUUGCAUGUUUUUUUUUACCCAAUAUAUGUGUACAUGUGAUCUUAGAGAAAAGUGUGUAUGGUAUGGUUAAGUUAAUAAAUUAAAUGUUUAAAUAAAUCUUUUGUACUUUUUAA